RNAcentral lists this ribosomal RNA (253 nucleotides) under uncultured bacterium. RNAcentral's name for it is "partial 16S ribosomal RNA". It matches the Rfam family "Bacterial small subunit ribosomal RNA", at positions 524 to 776 of the family's 1533-position model. The record is from RNAcentral.
UACGAAGGGGGCUAGCGUUGCUCGGAAUCACUGGGCGUAAAGCGCACGUAGGCGGAUUGUUAAGUCAGGGGUGAAAUCCUGGAGCUCAACUCCAGAACUGCCCUUGAUACUGGCGAUCUCGAGUCCGGGAGAGGUGAGUGGAGCUGCGAGUGUAGAGGUGAAAUUCGUAGAUAUUCGCAAGAACACCAGUGGCGAAGGCGGCUCACUGGCCCGGUACUGACGCUGAGGUGCGAAAGCGUGGGGAGCAAACAGG